This 497-nucleotide ribosomal RNA is filed under the name uncultured bacterium. RNAcentral describes it as "partial 16S ribosomal RNA". It matches the Rfam family "Bacterial small subunit ribosomal RNA", at positions 28 to 507 of the family's 1533-position model. The record is from RNAcentral.
GAUGAACGCUGGCGGCGUGCCUAAUACAUGCAAGUCGAGCGAACGGACGAGAAGCUUGCUUCUCUGAUGUUAGCGGCGGACGGGUGAGUAACACGUGGAUAACCUACCUAUAAGACUGGGAUAACUUCGGGAAACCGUAGCUAAUACCGGAUAAUAUUUUGAACCGCAUGGUUCAAAAGUGAAAGACGGUCUUGCUGUCACUUAUAGAUGGAUCCGCGCUGCAUUAGCUAGUUGGUAAGGUAACGGCUUACCAAGGCAACGAUGCAUAGCCGACCUGAGAGGGUGAUCGGCCAAACUGGAACUGAGACACGGUCCAGACUCCUACGGGAGGCAGCAGUAGGGAAUCUUCCGCAAUGGGAGAAAGCCUGACGGAGCAACGCCGCGUGAGUGAUGAAGGUCUUCGGAUCGUAAAACUCUGUUAUUAGGGAAGAACAUAUGUGUAAGUAACUGUGCACAUCUUGACGGUACCUAAUCAGAAAGCCACGGCUAACUACGUG